Molecule: long non-coding RNA, 171 nt
Organism: Conger conger (European conger)
Lineage: Eukaryota; Metazoa; Chordata; Actinopteri; Anguilliformes; Congridae
Exons: 3
Source: RefSeq, a predicted model, not a curated record
CAGAGUCCAGAUGAGGAGAAUGUACAAAGGAGACUGGAAAGACCUGACUCGAAAACUCCCAGCCACAGAUGUUUCUGUGACAAGGAGCAUGACCUACAUUGGUUUGCAAGUGACCUUCCUCUGUUUGGGCAUGGUGACCAUGUACACAUUUUUCUGUGUUAUUGGUGGCUU